GUCUUGUGUACUUGUGUACUUAACAAUAUUAAGAUAUUAACACAGUCCUAUGUUUACUGGCCUAAUUUUGCCUUGAAAUAUUCUAACAGUUUUGAAAAUUACUGUUAUUUGGGGUUCCCAAACAUGACCUGAUGCUGAAUCUGGUGUUGAAAGUUAAUCGGAUUCGACCCAAGUAGGGUUCAAGGGGUUCUUUGAGAUGUAACCUUUUUUGUUUUUCAUGUUUUUGUAUUGAGAAUUCAAUGCAUGGAAGUCUAAAAACUGGUUGAGAUUCAAAAUUAUUUCCAAAGUAAAAAAAGGCAUGAUCAAUUUACUUUUCAAAAUUGUCAAGUGUAUAGUUCCAAUAUACUUAUUUGAGUUGUGCUCUGUAAAAAGGGGGUUUAAUGCAUGUGCAUCAAAUGUAGUCCCAGAUUCUUCUUGAUAAUCUCUUUAACAGAUACACUGUAACUCCAAUCUAUCGUGGUAAGUGGGUCCAUAGAUCGUGACGGCGAUAUAUCCGGGGCGCGAUAUAACUUCAGAAUUGUCUAGCUUAAUCAUAUUUCGGUUAAUCUGUUAAAUUUCGCAAAUGUUAAAAUUGUUCAUACAGCGCAGCUGCAUAUUUGUAUUGUAAUAAUUGCAAACCAAUUUGUAGAUGAACAUUUUUAUAACUACAUACCUAUCUGUAUAAGUUUUGUUUAUCAUAAAACAAAAUUUUAAAUUAGAUUUUUAGCUCACCUGAUUGCUCAGGUGAGCUUUUGUGACCGGUCUUUGUCCGUCGUAUUUCCGUCCGUCCGUCCGUUAACAUUUGCUCGUAAACACUCUAGAGGCCACAUUUCUUGCCCCAUCUUCUUGAAACUUGGUCAGAAGCUUUGUCCCAAUGAAAUCUCGGCCGAGUUUGAAACUGGGUUGUGCCGGGUCAAAAACUAGGUCACUAGGUCAAAAAAAAGAAAAACCUUGUAAACACUGUAGAAGUCACAUUUCAUGCCCAAUCUUCAUGUAACUUUGUCAAAAUGUUUGUCUUAAUGAUAUCUUGGUUGAGUUCAAAAGUGGUUUUGAUCUGUUGAAAAAACGUGGCCGCCAGUGGGCGGGGCAGUUUUUCUUAUUUGGCUAUAGAGAAACCUUGUAAACUCUCUAGAAUUCACAAUUUUUGCCCAAUCAUCAUGAAAGUUGGUCAAAACAUUGGUUCAAUUGAUGUCUCGGAUGAGUUGGAAAAUGGUUGAGAUCGGUGAAAAAACAAGGCCGCCAAUGGGGGCAUUUUUCUCUAUAUGUAUAUAGUGGCAGUUUUCCCUAUUUGGCCAUAGAGAAACCUUUUCAACACUCAAGAAGUCACAAUUUUUUCCCAAUCAUCAUGAAAGUUGGUCUAAACAUUGGUUUUAUUGAUAUCUGAAAAUGGUCGGGAUCGGUGAAAAAACAUGGCUGCCAGUGGGCGGGGCAUUUUUCUCUAUAUGUAUAUAGUGAAAACAUGUGAACACAGUAGAAGUCACAUUUUUGGCCCAAUUUUCAUGAAAUUUGCUCAGAACAUUUGUUUCCUUGAUACGAGAGUUGAGUUCAAAAAAUGGUUCCGGUCAGUUGAAUGACAUGAAUGCUGGGAGGGGGGCAGUUCUCUCAUUUUGCCCCCCCCCCCUUUCGAAGAAGAGGGGGUAUAUUGUUUUGCUCAUGUCUGUCAGUCCGUCCACCAGAUGGUGUCCGGAUGAUAACUCAAGAGCGCUUAUGGCAAGGAUCAUGAAACUUCAUAGGUACAUUGAUCAUGACUCGCAGAUGACCCCUAUUGAUUUUCAGGUCACUAGGUCAAAGGUCAAGGUCACGAUGACCCGAAAUAGUAAAAUGGUUUCCGGAUGAUAACUCAAGAAAGCUUAAUUAUGCCUAGGAUCAUAAAACUUCAUAGAUACAUUGAUCAUGACUUGCAGAUAAACCCUAUUGAUUUUCAGGUCACUAGGUCAAAGGUCAAGGUCACGAUGACCCGAAAUAGUAAAAUGGUUUCCAGAUGAUAACUCAAGAAAGCUUAGGCCUAGGAUCAUGAAACUUCAUAGGUACAUUGAUCAUGACUCGCAAAUGACCUCUAUUGAUUUUCAGGUCACUAGGUCAAAGGUCAAGGUCACGGUGACCCGAAAUAGUUAAAUGGUUUCCAAAUGAUAACUCAAGAACGCUUAUGCCUAGGAUCAUGAAACUUCAUAGGUACAUUGAUCAUUACUCGAAAAUGACCCCUAUUGAUUUUCAGGUCACUAGGUCAAAGGUCAAGGUCACGGUGACCUGAAAUAGUAAAAUGGUUUCUGGAUGAUAACUCAAGAACGCUUAUGCCUAGGAUCAUGAAACUUCAUGGGUACAAUGAUCAUGACUCACAGAUGACCCCUAUUAAUUUUCAGGUCACUAGGUCAAAGGUCAAGGUCACGGUGACCUGAAAAAGUAAAAUGGUUUUUGGAUGAUAACUCAAGAACGUUUAUGCCUAGGUUCAUGAAACUUCAUAGGUAUCAGACCUGUUUACUUCUACGGAUUCGCCGUAGUUACUACAGAUUAUUUUGCUAAACUACGCACUAUGGAUUUGUACUGAAAAACUACGGAUCCAUCGAUCAAAAUGGUCAAAUUUCAGUUUUUAUCCGUACUUUUGCUUAUUUUCGGUCUUAAUGGGUAAUUAAUUAAUCAUAAUCAUUUCGGUGCUUGCAUAGUAAAAAACGUUGAAAUUCAAGCCUCCCGGGGAACGAGUGCUAUCGAGCUUGUGGAGUCGUCACCGAACUGACUUGGUAUUGGUUCGCAAAUUUAGCCGAAUAUAUAUGAUUUUACGUUGCUAUCCAGUAUACACAUCUCUCUCUCUCUAUUGCGGAGAAUACCGACGAUAGUCGAUGUAUUGGGGCUGAGCACGCCUGUUUUUACACACAUCCAAGAUGGGGGCAAGCAGACGAGAAAUUGCGAUUAACGGCGAAAAUAAUAAAUGCCAUUCUAAUUAACAACGGAUAUCAUAUGGUCAUUAGGGAAUAAUGUAAUGUGUAUGUCAAUUAACGCAACAUUCUUCGUUUGAGAUUAAAAAAACAAAAACAAAUGUUUAUCAGAAAUCUGCACAGUGAAUGUGCGUCAAUGACACGAGUGUUGGAAAAUUGGAGUUUAGUCUACUCACAAAGUUAAAGCAUUUAUUAUAAUAAGAUGAAUAUCGUUCGAAAAUGGAAAGAGACAAACUUGAUUUGAUUUAUAUGUUAGUGGAUCUGUGUAUAAUCAGAUUCAUAUGCAUAUUCUGCUUUAUUAUGUUUGUUACGCUGUACAGUUUAAUGAAAUAGCAUUGAACUGAGGUUGUCAAGUGCAAGAUAUUGAAAGGUAAACAAAUAAAAUAUAUAAUUAUGCCCCCCUUCGAAGAAGAGGGGGUAUAUUGCUUUGCUCAUGUCGGUCUGUCGGUCUGUCUGUCGGUCGGUCGGUCUGUCCGUCCACCAGUGGUUGUCAGACGAUAACUCAAGAACGCUUGGGCCUAGGAUCAUGAAACUUCAUAGGUUCAUUGAUCAUGACUCGCAGAUGACCCCUAUAGAUUUUGAGGUCACUAGGUCAAAGGUCAAAGUCACGGUGACCCGAAAUAGUAAAAUGGUUUUUGAAUGAUAACUCAAGAACACAUACGCCUAGGAUCAUGAAACUUCAUGGGUAGAUUGAUCAUGACUCGAAGAUGACCCCUAUUGAUUUUGAGGUCACUAGGUCAAAGGUCAAGGUCACGGUGACCCAAAAUUGUAAAAUGGUUUCCGGAUGAUAACUCAAGAAUGCAUACACCUAGGAUCAUGAAACUUCAUUGGUAGAUUGAUCAUGACUCGCAGAUGACCCCUAUUGAUUUUGAGGUCACUGGGUCAAAGGUCAAGGUCACGGUGACCCGAAAUAGUAAAAUGGUUUUCGGAUGAUAACUCAAGAACGCAUAUGCCAAAGAUCAUGAAACUUGAUAGGUAGAUUGAUCAUGACUCGCAGAUGACCCCUAUUGAUUUUGAGGUCACAAGGUCAAAGAUCAAGGUCACGGUGACCCGAAAUAGUAAAAUGGUGUCCGGAUGAUAACUCAAGAAUGCUUAUGGCUAGGAGCAUGAAACUUCAUAGGUACAUAGAUCAUGACUGGCAGAUGACCCCUAUUGAUUUUGAGGUCACUAGGUCAAAGGUCAAGGUCACAGUGACAAAAAACAUAUUCACACAAUGGCUCUCACUACAACGGAGAGCCCAUAUGGGGGGCAUGCAUGUUUUACAAACAGCCCUUGUUUUAACUCCAUUUAAUACAUCAUUAACAGAACAAGAACACUAAAGGAUGUUUGUCAAUAUGUGUUUAUGUUUUCCCCUUAUGAUAUUUAAUUUAAAAAAAUACUGAAUUAAAUUAAUAGCUACUCUUCAAGAGCUUAUGAUCAUAUGGUGUAUUUAAGAAUCUAUAGAUUAUUGCAAGUUUAAUGUGCAUGUGGAUGGAUAUUAACUAAAUAUUGUCUUAUUGUAAUAAGACAUUGAAGCAGCACUUUAUUAUAUAAAAUGCUGUCAAACAUGCACUUAAAAACAAUUUUAAUUCUGUUACUUGUAAUCAUAUGUUUAAUGCUUAAUGUCUCCCAAUUUCAUGGUUUAUCGCGCUAUUUUUUCCAAUUUCAUGGUUUAUCGCGCUAAUUUUCCAAAGCCAAAUGGCACAGGCUGUAACAAAUCAAAGGAAAAAAAAAUCACUUAACAGAUUUUAUUAUUAGCAAGUAAAUUCAUCUCAUGCUUUAUGUACCGUUAAACUGAUAUGUGACCCAGUCAUGGUGUUUUAAUGCUCUAAAUGAUUGAAAAAUUUAAAACUACUGACAACAGCCCCAAACUACUGAGAGAUGCCCUCCGUACUACUGAGAAGCAAUCGGUAGGGUAAACAGGUCUGAGGUAUAUUGAUCAUGACUCGCAGAUGGCCCCUAUUGAUUAUAUGGUCACUAGGUCAAAGGUCAAGGUCACAGUGCCAAAAAACGUAUUCACACAAUGGCUGUCAAGGUCAUGGUAACUCAACUUAGAAAAAUGGUUUCAGGAUGAUAACUCAAGAAUCUUACGCCUAGGAUCAUGAAACCUCAUAGGUACAUUGAUCAUGACUCACAGAUGAAAAAAUGAUGAAACUUGACCAGGAUGUUUGUCUGGACAAUAUCUAGGUCAAGUUUGACAUUUGGUAAAGAUUGAAUGAACCGACUCCUCUCAGGUGAGCGAACUAGGGCCAUCUUGGCCCUCUUGUUUAUGUUUAUGUAUGAUUGCUCGCAAAUCAGCUUAAAAGAAGAAUUUUGAUGGUAAAAUACUGUGAAACCAUACAUUUUUGUCAGCACAAAAUUUCGUCAUUAAAAAAAAGACAAUUUUGUCAGCACUUAAAUUUGCCAAUUUCUGAUUUUGGAAAAAAAUGUGUAAGUCAAUAUCCAAUUUGUUUGUAAUACAUGUCCAUGAGAACUCGUGGUUUCUUGGUUGCAACAUUUUGUGGUCGGGAAAAGGGAGGACACUAGGGAGUCCUGUUUGUCACAUCCGGAUUAAAUGUAUUUAUUAUCGUUGUGUGAAUGAAUAAACUGGUUAUACAGGUUUUUGAAGGUGAUAUAUGUCCAAUGGUGCGGAAAUCAAGAUUUCCUCGUGCACAGAUUUGUAGGUUUAGUCAUUCGACAGGCAAGCAGGGUAGAGCGAAGACUUGAUUUAAAUCGUUUUAUUUAUUUAAGCUCUGUUUGUGUGUUGAUGUUAAUAUAAUGUUUUAUGUGUUUCAGUGAGUUUUAUGAGAGCAGAUGGAUGACUGACUUGAGAUAGAAAGGGGCAUUGGUUCCGGACAUUUUACCAUGGGAUUUACAUAGUUUUCUAAAAAGAAUACUUAACGUUUACGAUAUAGUAACAGCUGAUUAUUUGUAGAUUUCUCUAAAAUUAGAGGUUUCAGGAGGUGAUGAAGGCACCUAGACACCGGUCUUGAGCCAUGGGUCCUCAUACGUCCCCCUGCCAUUAAAAGAAAAAUGAAAAAUGAGCAGUAGGGUUGCGUAUCCCGCUCGCGGUUACACCUGAAUCGUUCGUUACCACCGAUUAUUGUUUGGGGUGUACGUGAAGUCAUGUGCACUUCUUUUAAUUGAUGGUAAUGAAUAAAUCUUGUAAUUAUCGCAGCUGCUUUUAUCAAAACUAAUGCUUCACUUUAUGUACUUUUCGCAAAUAGGCGUUGUGGAUGGGCAUAGGGGGCGUCCUCAGUGCUUUUUGGGCAUCGGCAGCGGACGGGCGGUUGUUAGGGCCGUGGGGUCCUUGGUUGGGCUUGUGAUUUUGAAUUGUGUAGUUAAAUUGUGCAAUUGUAUUAUUUUUAGUUUAGGCUUGACGUCUGAUGGGUAUUAAUAAUAUUCAAUUAUUUACAUGUAACGCAUGAGCAUGUUUAAUGAUACGUAUAACGACAUGUUCUACAGAAUGGAUUUAGUAUCGUUUCAGUUCUUAAAUAUAUGAGAAGGAUCUCGCAACGUUUACUGACGUCUCGAGACUCUUCAACUGAGCGGUGCCAUUGGGGUCGAUAUCUGUUGCUCAUUGAACACAUACGAUCGUCAGAAGAUUUGUUUCUUGCAUUUAUGUGUAGAAAGCCUUGUCAAAUACAAACACCCACUCUG
Molecule: long non-coding RNA, 6527 nt
Organism: Dreissena polymorpha
Lineage: Eukaryota; Metazoa; Mollusca; Bivalvia; Myida; Dreissenidae
Exons: 2
Source: RefSeq, a predicted model, not a curated record